This 497-nucleotide ribosomal RNA is filed under the name uncultured bacterium. RNAcentral describes it as "partial 16S ribosomal RNA". It matches the Rfam family "Bacterial small subunit ribosomal RNA", at positions 28 to 507 of the family's 1533-position model. The record is from RNAcentral.
GAUGAACGCUGGCGGCGUGCCUAAUACAUGCAAGUCGAGCGAACAGACGAGAAGCUUGCUUCUCUGACGUUAGCGGCGGACGGGUGAGUAACACGUGGAUAACCUACCUAUAAGACUGGGAUAACUUCGGGAAACCGGAGCUAAUACCGGAUAAUAUAUUGAACCGCAUGGUUCAAUAGUGAAAGACGGUUUUGCUGUCACUUAUAGAUGGAUCCGCGCCGCAUUAGCUAGUUGGUAAGGUAACGGCUUACCAAGGCAACGAUGCGUAGCCGACCUGAGAGGGUGAUCGGCCACACUAGAACUGAGACACGGUCCAGACUCCUACGGGAGGCAGCAGUAGGGAAUCUUCCGCAAUGGGCGAAAGCUUGACGGAGCAACGCCGCGUGAGUGAUGAAGGUCUUCGGAUCGUAAAACUCUGUUAUUAGGGAAGAACAUAUGUGUAAGUAACUAUGCACGUCUUGACGGUACCUAAUCAGAAAGCCACGGCUAACUACGUG